Long non-coding RNA from Brassica napus (rape), 3835 nucleotides. RefSeq lists it as uncharacterized. The transcript has 3 exons. Lineage: Eukaryota; Viridiplantae; Streptophyta; Magnoliopsida; Brassicales; Brassicaceae. The record is from RefSeq and is a predicted model, not a curated record.
AACCGGUCCCGAACCGAACUUUUAUAUAACCCGAAUGUGGUUGAUUUUGAUAAACCCGAAAAACCAAAAUCGGAAUGGAUAAAACCGAAACCCGAUUGGGACCCCGAAUACCCAUGCCUACAUUCAACAGUUCAAGACUCCAGAACAUAAAAAGAGAACUAGAGUUGAACUCGCACGUCCGUGCUGAUAUAUUUUUGUUUUUAAUAUAACAAUUAAAAUAUAAAAUAAAUUAUAUAUAUAUAUAUAUAUAUAUUAUAACAAUUUUUAUUUAUGUAAUCAUUAUUUUGAAAAUUGUAUAUAUUGGUUAUUUUUUGUUUAAAAGUUUAUAUUCUUGAAAAUUUUUUGUGUGACUAAAUUUUAAAUUAGCUAAUAUAAUAUUUUGAAAAUAUUUUUAAUUUAGUGUAUUAUAUUUUUGUUUUUUCGUCUCUUAGUCGACCGACCGCACCUUCAGGUACGCUACCUCUCCCCUGAUUUGUUUCUGCUAAUGGCGUUCUUCUUCUUCUAUUUUUGUUUUGUUUUUACUAUAAAAAUCAAGCCUAGAAAUAAUACAACCAAUAAAUUAUUAUUUAUUUUGUUAUCUAUAACAAAUUAAUAUGAUAUUUUUUUAAAAAAAUUGGGCUAUACUAUUUAAUUUCCAAAUGAAUUACCAAAAAUACAUAAAAUCUGGCCUAGACUAAAAUAUGGUAAAGAAUCAAAAAAAUAAUUGCAUAAUAGAAAUGGAUUAGAAUUUACAGAAAAUGAUAUUGUUUGAAUUUAUAUAUUUUUUUUGUUAGGAAAAUAUCAUAUAUACAUAAAUUUAGGAUAUUUUGUUAUUUUUUUAGUUAAUGGUCUAAUAUAUAGAUUUUUUUAUAGUAGAUAAAAUAAAGACUCUACUUUAAUAAAGCAGAUGAAUUAAAAUAUUGAAGUUUAAACAAAAUGACUUGACAAGGAUAUUUGAUUACAUCGUUUCGUUUAAUAUUAAUAUAAAUGUAUAACUGUUUUCUAUAGUAACAAAACUUCAUCACUGUUUCCUUGGAUCAAGUGGAGAUAUACGGGAAGGUGCGUGACGCACGAAACUCGACAUUAAACAACUACCCACGUUAGACCACCUUCAUCGAUGGAGUCUUAAGUAGAGUUUCAAGCAAAAAUGAAAAAAAAAUAAAUGAAAAAUGGGGAAAAAAGAAAGAACCGGAUCUUUAAUUGGAUUAUUUGAAACUGGUAAGACACCUUAACGUGGCAGUAUCCCAUUCGAUCAUUCCUUUAAUGUCUCUCUCUCCUUCGUCUCGCGAAAUCAAUUUGGCUUCCUCCUCCAUUCUCGAUCAAUCCGUCGCUGCUCUCGAAUUUCAUCAUCUCAUCUCAUCGUUCUAUUCUGAGAUCUCAUCUCAUCUCAUUUCAUCUCAUCGUUCUCGGUUAGGCAAGGCUUCCUCCUUCAUUCUCUUUGCUCUUGAAUCUCAUCUCAUCUCAUCGUUUUCUUCUGAGAUCGAAUCUCAUCUCAUCUCAUCGUUCUCGGUUAGGCAAGAAUCUCAUAUCAUCUCAGAAGAGAAGAAGGCUUGAAGAGAAAGCAAGGAUCGAGGGAAGGAUGAAACUCAGACAACAUGCAAGGCUUGCGGUAAUGAAGGUGGAAGAAGAUGAAGAAGAAGAAGAAGAAGAAGCAAGAUCAGACUGUAGGUUCGUGUGAGUUUGCUUUUGAUUCAUUACGGAAUCAACACAAACGUCAGAAAUGGAUUCACCAUCAUCAAAGCAUUUGUAUUUUAUUUCAGAAAGCAACAGGUAUAUCACAUGGGACUUGCAGAUGAAGACAGUUACCAUGUGACAGAACAAGACAAUAUGUUUGAUGUAAUAAAGUUAUUGAGUUUUGUAUCUCGUGAAGUCCUAAUUUGUGUGAAAUGUUUCACGUUUUUUUUUAGUUGUACCAAACGAUAUACAACCUGUCUAAACUUGUCUAUAUAAACUUGUGAGAAAGAAAUCAAAUGCAAAACAAAACAACAACUUUGAGCAUCUUCACUUCUUUUUCAAAAGCAAUUAUUUCUUCUCCUUAACCGAGCAAAACAAAUCAUCUCUAAGCAAUUGUUUCUUCUCCAUCACGUUUCUUAUCCUUCUCAUUUCUUCUCCUUCACAUUUCUUCUUCUUCUCAUUUCUUCUCCUUCUCAUUUCAAAUGGCAUUUUCUUCUUCUAAUAAUUUCGAAGACUUGGAUGAAAGAUUUGAUUAAAUUUUCGAUCAACAAUUCGAAAAUCUUCUAAUUCGUCAUGGUGAGCAUCAAGAAGCAUCAAGGUCAAAAAAGAAACGAACCUACAUUGAAAGACAACGAGAAGAAGGACACAUGCAGUUGUGGAACGAUUAUUUUAGUGAAGAUGCAACAUAUCCUUCUCACAUGUUUCGACGGCAUUUUCGAAUGAACAAGCCCUUGUUCAUGCGUAUUGUUGAUCGACUAUCCGCUGAAAUCUCAUACUUUCAACAAAGAAGAGAUGCUACUGGAAGGUUUGGUAACUCCCCGUUACAAAAGGCAACGACAGCAAUUCGUAUGAUGGCAUAUGGUUUCCCAGCUGAUGCGGUCGACGAAUACCUCCGACUUGGCGAGACCACCGUACUUUUAUGCUUGGAACAUUUUGUUCAAGGAAUCAUAAAUUUAUUUGGAGAUGAGUAUCUAAGAAGACCCACGCCAGAAGAUCUUCAACGUCUACUCGAUAUUGGAGAGAUACGCGGGUUUCCCGGGAUGAUAGGAAGCAUUGAUUGUAUGCAUUGGGAGUGGAAGAAUUGUCCGACCGCAUGGAAAGGUCAAUAUACACGUGGAUCAGGAAAGCCAACAAUUAUUUUAGAAGUUGUAGCUUCACAAGAUCUCUGGAUAUGGCACGCGUUUUUCGAACCUCCAAGUACAUUAAACGAUAUCAAUGUUCUUGAUCGACCCGGUUUUUGAUAAUAUAUUACAAGGUCGAGCUCCAAAAGUUAAUUACAUUGUCAACGGACACGAGUACAAUUUGGCUUACUAUCUCAUAGAUGGUAUUUAUCCAAAAUGGGCUACUUUUGUCCAAUCUAUUUCACUUCCGAAAGGUCCGAAAGUAUCUUUAUUCGCUACACAACAAGAAGCUGUACGUAAAGAUGUCGAGCGUGCUUUUGGGGUCUUGCAAGCUCGAUUUGCCAUAGUCAAAAAUUUAGCUCUUUUGUGGGAUAAAAUAAAAUUGGAAAGAUAAUGAGAGCAUGUAUCAUUCUACAUAAUAUGAUUAUAGAAGACGAACGAGAUGGGUACACUCAGUAUGAUUUAUAUGUUUUCGCGCAACCGGAAUCAAACCGAAGUUCACAAGUGGAUAGCACGUUUUUUACAGAUAUGCCUUUAAAUCUCGGCAAUAUGAUGAGCAUUCGGAAUCGAGUUCGUGAUAGAAGAAUACAUCAACAAUUGAAAGAUGAUUUGGUUGAGAAUAUAUGGCAAAAAUUUGAAAUGAAUCAAGAUUUCAACUAAUCGUUUUUUUCUCGUUUACUAUUUGUAUUUGUAUUUUUAAUAUGUUUUAAUGUCAUUUUUAUUAAAAAAUUUAUGUAUGCUUUUAUUUUAAAUCAAUCUACUUUUAAAAAAAAAUAUUAUUUAAAAACUCCUAUGGGUUUCUCCCAUUGGAGAGGAAAAAAUUAUUUGCACUAACCAAAGUUCUAAACUUGUCAAAUCACCUCAUUUACUCUUAAUUUAAUCAUUAGACCCAUUAGAGGGUCUAAUGGAUGGACAUGCUCUUAACUUAUUUGCCUCUGAGUUGACAAAAAAAAACUUAUUUGCCUCUGAACACAAGUUGCAGAAUUUCCUCUAUUCUAGUUCACCAUUUUCUCUAUAUUUAUUUUCUUCUCUUUUAACUAUCUAAUUAUAGUUAUAUACCU